GUAGAGCAGAGGACUGAAAAUCCUCGU
This 27-nucleotide transfer RNA is filed under the name Opuntia retrorsa. RNAcentral describes it as "partial tRNA-Phe". Lineage: Eukaryota; Viridiplantae; Streptophyta; Magnoliopsida; Caryophyllales; Cactaceae. The record is from RNAcentral.